This 253-nucleotide ribosomal RNA is filed under the name uncultured bacterium. RNAcentral describes it as "partial 16S ribosomal RNA". It matches the Rfam family "Bacterial small subunit ribosomal RNA", at positions 524 to 776 of the family's 1533-position model. The record is from RNAcentral.
UACGGGGGGAGCAAGCGUUGUUCGGAUUUACUGGGCGUAAAGGGCGCGUAGGCGGUCGUGACAAGUCACUUGUGAAAUCUCCGGGCUUAACUCGGAACGGUCAAGUGAUACUGUCGGACUAGAGUACAGAAGGGGCAACUGGAAUUCUCGGUGUAGCGGUGAAAUGCGUAGAUAUCGAGAGGAACACCUGCGGCGAAGGCGGGUUGCUGGGCUGAUACUGACGCUGAGGCGCGAAGCCAGGGGAGCGAACGGG